UGGAACUGCAGAGCACUCUAUCCUGCGAAGCCAGAGCACUGAUUCUUGUAACACAAUCCGCUGGUUCAUCCUCUGCUGUGAAUCUAUGGAUCAGUAUGCCUGAGGGGAAAAAAGGAUAGGAGCUGUGACUCAAGGAGAAAGAUUUUGGCCUGAAGCUGUGCUCAGUGCUGGGUGCUGCUUCCCUCACCAUUGAGUCAGUACUGUCCUACACCCAAGCUGUCUUCGUGUGCUCCUGCUGUGUAGAACCCAGAUCCCAAACUCAGGAGACCAGGGAAGCAAGUACGUUUGGAUACACCUGCAGGGAUCCACCUGGAUGUGGCAAUACCAUUGCUAAUGCAGAGAAAAUCAACUGUUCAAAUCACAGGACUUCCACAGUACUUCCACAACAGGAAUGCCAGCCUUCACUGCAAACAAUUCUGACAUUUGUGGGGACAUUUAAUUGGCUCUGCUGGAAGAGCUAAAGAGGUGGACCAAUUUUGAUGCUACAGAACUGGAGUUGAAGAAGCCAUGACCUUCCUCAG
Long non-coding RNA from Zonotrichia leucophrys gambelii, 521 nucleotides. RefSeq lists it as uncharacterized. The transcript has 4 exons. The record is from RefSeq and is a predicted model, not a curated record. NCBI's taxonomy places the organism in Eukaryota, Metazoa, Chordata, Aves, Passeriformes, Passerellidae.